GGCGACCGCGGCAGGUUGGGGCGGCUGCUCGCUCGCGCGCAGAACGCGGCGGUCAGCUGCGCCCGGCCUGAAGUUGUCCCAACCGCGGCCGCGUCGGUCGCCCUUUUGACUUGCAGCAGGGCGGGCAGAGCGACUUAGAGGAAAAGUGACUUUUUGUACCCUCCUGCAGGGAGCAGGUUCUCUGUCCUUGUUUAAUUAGACAUUUCUCAGAGAAUCCUGCCUCUGCUCUGAAGCCUUUCUGUUCGCUCCAGUGAAAAUUAGUCAUCCACCGGGCGCGGUGGCUCACGCCUGCAAUCCCAGCACUUUGGGAGGCCGAGGUCUGGGCUUGAUGUUCACCGAUUUUCCCUCAGCUCCGACUGUGGCUCCUCUCAGCUGACUCUGACCCUGCUCUCAGCCGGGCUGCAUCUGCCCAUCUCAGCACAUCAAUAAACAGCAGAGGGAAACUACCACCUUGGAAGGAGCCAGGCAGUUUCUGCUGGGUAGGCCGCAGCCUGGAACAUGGAAGUAGCUUCUUCCAUCCUACACUGGAAACCACCCAGCAUCCCGGGCCCUCCAGAGAAGAGCCAGACUCCCUUCCCUGGGAAGAGACUAUAGUCCUAUCUAGCUUUUCCUUACUUCAGUAUUGCAUGAUAAUUCUCAAGCCUGUUCUUUACAUAAAUACAAAAAGGAGAAAGUGAAAUAGUAGAGGAACCGACCGAUUUGAAGGAGCUGCCACUAUUUGAUUCCUCCUGUUAGGACAUCUGAAUGACCCCAAGUUCCUGUUCUUGAGGCUGUUGUAUCAUAUUCUUAAAAGCUAUGCAUGCAUUCUGCUUUGAAUGUGUCCCUCAGCCUCAUUCUUCUCCACUUGCUGGGGGCCAUCCCGCCCCACGGGAAGAUCAAGAAGUGAUAACUGGGACUGCUACCUGGAGCUAUCAGGUAACUGCACUAUCUUAUGUAGUUUCAUGAGAUCACAACUAGAUAAAUAGUUUCUUUGUAAAUAAACUCUCUUUGGUUUAU
Molecule: long non-coding RNA, 996 nt
Filed under: Homo sapiens (human)
Lineage: Eukaryota; Metazoa; Chordata; Mammalia; Primates; Hominidae
Description: ARHGAP29 antisense RNA 1
Source: RNAcentral